Molecule: ribosomal RNA, 495 nt
Filed under: uncultured bacterium
Lineage: Bacteria
Description: partial 16S ribosomal RNA
Rfam family: Bacterial small subunit ribosomal RNA
Source: RNAcentral
GACGAACGCUGGCGGCGUGCCUAAUACAUGCAAGUAGAACGCUGAAGGAGGAGCUUGCUUCUCUGGAUGAGUUGCGAACGGGUGAGUAACGCGUAGGUAACCUGCCUGGUAGCGGGGGAUAACUAUUGGAAACGAUAGCUAAUACCGCAUAAUAGUAGAUGUUGCAUGACAUUUGCUUAAAAGGUGCAAUUGCAUCACUACCAGAUGGACCUGCGUUGUAUUAGCUAGUUGGUGGGGUAACGGCUCACCAAGGCGACGAUACAUAGCCGACCUGAGAGGGUGAUCGGCCACACUGGGACUGAGACACGGCCCAGACUCCUACGGGAGGCAGCAGUAGGGAAUCUUCGGCAAUGGACGGAAGUCUGACCGAGCAACGCCGCGGGAGUGAAGAAGGUUUUCGGAUCGUAAAGCUCUGUUGUAAGAGAAGAACGAGUGUGAGAGUGGAAAGUUCACACUGUGACGGUAGCUGACCAGAAAGGGACGGCUAACUACGUG